RNAcentral lists this ribosomal RNA (1077 nucleotides) under uncultured bacterium. Its description in RNAcentral is "bacterial SSU rRNA". It matches the Rfam family "Bacterial small subunit ribosomal RNA", at positions 70 to 1087 of the family's 1533-position model. The record is from RNAcentral.
UAAUUUAACCAAUGGGGCGGCUACUCUGCAGUCGAACGCUUUUUCUUUCCCUUACCUUGCUCCACCGAAAGAAAAAGAGUGUCGAACGGGUGAGUAACACGACCUUAACCUGCCCAUCAGAAGGGGAUAACACUUGAUAAACAGGUGCUAAUACCGUAUAACACUAUUUUCCGCAUGGAAGAAAGUUGAAAGGCGCUUUUGCGUCACUGAUGGAUGGACCCGCGGUGCAUUAUCUAGGUGGUGAGGUAACGGCUCACCAAGGGGACCAGGCAUGGACAACCUGAGAGGGUGAUCUGACACACUGACCCUGAUCCUCCGGCCAGACUCCUACAGGAGGAUUGAAUAAGGAAUCUUCGCCUGUGGACGAAAUGCUGACCGAGCAACGACUGGUGUGUGAAUAAGGUUUUGGGAUCGUAAAACUCUGUUGUUCCCUAAGAACAAGGAUUAGAGUGAACUGUUCAUCCCUUGACCGGAUCUAUCCAGAAAGCCACGGCUAACUACAUGCCGGGUGCCGCGGUAAUACGUAAGUGGUGAGCGUUGUCCGGAUUUAUUGGGCGUAUAGCGAGCGAAGGCAGAUUCCUCAGUCUGAUUGGAAAACUGCCUGUUCUACCGGGUAAGGUCAUUGGAAACUGGGAGACUUGAGUGCGUAAGAGGAGAGUGAAAUUCCUUGAGUAUACAUGAAAUGCGUAUAGCUAUGGAGGAACACCACUGGUAUACGGAGCUCUCUGGACUGUAACUUACGCUGAGGAUCGAAAGCGAGACCCGGGAACACGAUUACAUACACGAGGGAUCCUCGCCGUAGACGAUGAGCGCUGACUGUUGGAGGGUUUCAGCCCUUCAGUGCUGCAGCAAACGCAUUAAGCACUCCACCCGGAGAGUACGACCGCGGGCUCACACUCAGAGGAUUGACGGUUCACUCACUGAUGCUGGAGCAAGCGUUUCAGUCUUAGAUGCGCAAGACCGUCUAGGAUUGACAUUCUUCGACCACUCUACAGAGAGGCCUUCCCCUUCUCGUGCCAUGUGACAGUGGGUGCUUGGUUGUCGUCAACUACGAGCGUGAGCUGUUGGGUUAGUUGC